AGAGUUUGAUCCUGGCUCAGGACGAACGCUGGCGGCGUGCUUAACACAUGCAAGUCGAACGGAAAGGCCCUGCUUUUGUGGGGUGCUCGAGUGGUGAACGGGUGAGUAACACGUGAGUAACCUGCCCUUGACUUUGGGAUAACUUCAGGAAACUGGGGCUAAUACCGGAUAGGAGCUCCUGCUGCAUGGUGGGGGUUGGAAAGUUUCGGCGGUUGGGGAUGGACUCGCGGCUUAUCAGCUUGUUGGUGGGGUAGUGGCUUACCAAGGCUUUGACGGGUAGCCGGCCUGAGAGGGUGACCGGCCACAUUGGGACUGAGAUACGGCCCAGACUCCUACGGGAGGCAGCAGUGGGGAAUAUUGCACAAUGGGCGGAAGCCUGAUGCAGCAACGCCGCGUGCGGGAUGACGGCCUUCGGGUUGUAAACCGCUUUCGCCUGUGACGAAGCGUGAGUGACGGUAAUGGGUAAAGAAGCACCGGCUAACUACGUGCCAGCAGCCGCGGUGAUAACGUAGGGUGCGAAGCGUUGUCCGGAUUUAUUGGGCGUAAAGGGCUCGUAGGUGGUUGAUCGCGUCGGAAGUGUAAUCUUGGGGCUUAACCCUGAGCGUGCUUUCGAUACGGGUUGACUUGAGGAAGGUAGGGGAGAAUGGAAUUCCUGGUGGAGCGGUGGAAUGCGCAGAUAUCACGAGGAACACCAGUGGCGAAAGCGGUUCUCUGGGCCUUUCCUGACGCUGAGGAGCGAAAGCGUGGGGAGCGAACAGGCUUAGAUACCCUGGUAGUCCACGCUGUAAACGGUGGGUACUAGGUGUGGGGUCCAUUCCACGGGUUCCGUGCCGUAGCUAACGCUUUAAGUACCCCGCCUGGGGAGUACGGCCGCAAGGCUAAAACUCGAAGGAAUUGACGGGGCCCCGCACAAGCGGCGGAGCAUGCGGAUUAAUUCGAUGCAACGCGUAGAACCUUACCUGGGUUUGACAUGGAUCGGGAGCGCUCAGAGAUGGGUGUGCCUCUUUUGGGGUCGGUUCACAGGUGGUGCAUGGCUGUCGUCAGCUCGUGUCGUGAGAUGUUGGGUUAAGUCCCGCAACGAGCGCAACCCUUGUUCACUGUUGCCAGCACGUUAUGGUGGGGACUCAGUGGAGACCGCCGGGGUCAACUCGGAGGAAGGUGGGGAUGACGUCAAGUCAUCAUGCCCCUUAUGUCCAGGGCUUCACGCAUGCUACAAUGGCUGGUACAGAGAGUGGCGAGCCUGUGAGGGUGAGCGAAUCUCGGAAAGCCGGUCUCAGUUCGGAUUGGGGUCUGCAACUCGACCUCAUGAAGUCGGAGUCGCUAGUAAUCGCAGAUCAGCAACGCUGCGGUGAAUACGUUCCCGGGGCUUGUACACACCGCCCGUCAAGUCAUGAAAGUUGGUAACACCCGAAGCCGGUGGCCUAACCGUUGUGGGGGAGCCGUCGAAGGUGGGACUGGUGAUUAGGACUAAGUCGUAACAAGGUAACCGU
Molecule: ribosomal RNA, 1490 nt
Filed under: uncultured bacterium
Lineage: Bacteria
Description: bacterial SSU rRNA
Rfam family: Bacterial small subunit ribosomal RNA
Source: RNAcentral